GAAGGCAUAGCUCAGUGGUAGAGCGUGUGGUCAGCAUGCACAAGGUCCUGGGUUCAAUCCCCAGUAUCGCCA
Transfer RNA from Camelus ferus (Wild Bactrian camel), 72 nucleotides. It matches the Rfam family "tRNA". From Rfam's summary of the family: Transfer RNA (tRNA) molecules are approximately 80 nucleotides in length. Their secondary structure includes four short double-helical elements and three loops (D, anti-codon, and T loops). The record is from Rfam. NCBI's taxonomy places the organism in Eukaryota, Metazoa, Chordata, Mammalia, Artiodactyla, Camelidae.